Molecule: long non-coding RNA, 1313 nt
Filed under: Daphnia magna
Lineage: Eukaryota; Metazoa; Arthropoda; Branchiopoda; Diplostraca; Daphniidae
Description: uncharacterized LOC116928390, transcript variant X1
Source: RNAcentral
GAUCCCGGUCGUGUGGGAGAAGGGCUGUUUGUGAUUUGAAGCACACUUUGUUAUGCAAAAAGGAAAAUAAGCCGUCAGUAUUUAUUUUUUUUAGCUCUACUGGAAAUGAAGAGUUAAGUCUUGGUAUUGGGACCCUGGAGUCCAUUGUUCUUCCAAAAGAAUACUGCGAACUUUCCUUUUUAAAUCAGCUGAAUCAGUUAAAGGGGUUUAUUGGGACGAAGAAAACCGUUGGAUUAGUAGUUUGUUGUUUAGUUUGUUUAGUAUUCCAUCAGUGAAUUGAGUCCUUCACAGGACUCGAGAACUUCACAAGUUCAAUAUAAGAUUGGCCAAAGUUAUUACAUUUUCAGAGGACAAGGAUGUAAUAUUAUCCACAAAAAAUGCUAUGAUGAAGAAAACCGGGCCUGCAACCUCUGCUGAUAAGCAAGUAAUAGCAAAAAAGUCUUAUCCAAAGACUACUUAUAGUCAACGGGGCUCCAAAAAAAGUACAACCUCACUAAAAUUGUCAACUGAUGGUUCUACAAUGGCUAGAAAAAGAAUGCAAAUUCUUGAUGAAGACUUAGAAGGUAUGGUAUGUAAAAUUUCAGUAAAGACAAGUAUUUGUCAUCUGAACUAGACUCGGGUGACAGCUUUAACCUAAAUGAACAAGAAUACUGUAAUUGGGUCAUUCCAUAUGAAAUCAACCAAUGACAGUGACGGUCAUCUCGCCGAUUUUAAAUUUUUUUAAUGUUUUAUUGUUGAUAUAUACUGUACUAGUUAGUAUCCAAAAUUUUUUUGAAAAUAAAUCACCCGUUCCCGUGUUACAGGCUUUCAAAGUUUUUAGCGCGCUUAAAUUAGGGAAAUGAGUAAAAUGAUUAACGUGAUAAUGGAGGACUUGUGGGAUAGAACAUUUAUGUCAAGCCACAGUUUAACUGGAAAAAAGGCACCCACUGAUAAAAGUAGCAAUCCUCCCAAGCCUGCUCUUCCAAAAAAAGUUGUUGAAGCCAUAACAGGAAACCCGACACAAGAUGGGAAUCGAUCCGUCAUUGGUGUCUCUAUGCAUAACUGCAAAAAUUUUAAUUGAGCACAUGGCUCAAAAGUCAAGAGAGAAGAUGCUGGCAGUGGAGGAAGUGGCAGAUUCAGAGUAAAUUAAUAAACAGUGCGUUUCUAGUCCAAUAUUUAUGCACUUAUAUGAUUACGUUUACAAUGUCCCUGUAUGUAAUAUUUUUCGCAUUCACGUUCGUUUUUACAGUUUUUUCUAUUGUAUUUUAUAUAAAGUCACGCAUUUGAAAUUUCGGAAACACAAAGAAAUCUAUACCAAAUACAAAGAAUGUUCC